This 99-nucleotide ribosomal RNA is filed under the name Fusobacterium necrophorum subsp. funduliforme. RNAcentral's name for it is "partial 16S ribosomal RNA". The record is from RNAcentral. Lineage: Bacteria; Fusobacteriati; Fusobacteriota; Fusobacteriia; Fusobacteriales; Fusobacteriaceae.
GGCCUUACCCUUAGGAAGGAUGCUCCGAGGGGUGGUUAGCGAUUGGGGGAAGUGGUACCAAGGUAUCCGUCGGGAACGUGCGGAAUGGAUCACCUCCUU